AUGCCAUGAUGAUAAUUUCUUAUUGAACGCCGUGAUUACCUUCACCAAGAUCGCUGAUGUUU
Molecule: small nucleolar RNA, 62 nt
Filed under: Bombyx mori (domestic silkworm)
Lineage: Eukaryota; Metazoa; Arthropoda; Insecta; Lepidoptera; Bombycidae
Description: Bm_21
Source: RNAcentral